AUUGAACGCUGGCGGCAGGCCUAACACAUGCAAGUCGAGCGGAUGAAGGGAGCUUGCUCCUGGAUUCAGCGGCGGACGGGUGAGUAAUGCCUAGGAAUCUGCCUGGUAGUGGGGGAUAACGUCCGGAAACGGGCGCUAAUACCGCAUACGUCCUGAGGGAGAAAGUGGGGGAUCUUCGGACCUCACGCUAUCAGAUGAGCCUAGGUCGGAUUAGCUAGUUGGUGGGGUAAAGGCCUACCAAGGCGACGAUCCGUAACUGGUCUGAGAGGAUGAUCAGUCACACUGGAACUGAGACACGGUCCAGACUACUACGGGAGGCAGCAGUGGGGAAUAUUGGACAAUGGGCGAAAGCCUGAUCCAGCAAUGCCGCGUGUGUGAAGAAGGUCUUCGGAUUGUAAAGCACUUUAAGUUGGGAGGAAGGGCAGUAAGUUAAUACCUUGCUGUUUUGACGUUACCAACAGAAUAAGCACCGGCUAACUUCGUG
Molecule: ribosomal RNA, 484 nt
Filed under: uncultured bacterium
Lineage: Bacteria
Description: partial 16S ribosomal RNA
Rfam family: Bacterial small subunit ribosomal RNA
Source: RNAcentral